RNAcentral lists this ribosomal RNA (649 nucleotides) under uncultured bacterium. Its description in RNAcentral is "partial 16S ribosomal RNA". The record is from RNAcentral.
CAGAAUUCNCCCUUGGUUACCUUGUUACGACUUCACCCCAGUCACGAACCCCGCCGUGGUAAUCGCCCCCCUUUCGGUUAGGCUAACUACUUCUGGCAGAACCCGCUCCCAUGGUGUGACGGGCGGUGUGUACAAGACCCGGGAACGUAUUCACCGCGACAUGCUGAUCCGCGAUUACUAGCGAUUCCGACUUCACGCAGUCGAGUUGCAGACUGCGAUCCGGACUACGACCGGUUUUCUGAGAUUGGCUCCCCCUCGCGGGUUUGCGACCCUCUGUGCCGGCCAUUGUAUGACGUGUGUAGCCCUACCCAUAAGGGCCAUGAUGACCUGACGUCAUCCCCACCUUCCUCCGGUUUGUCACCGGCAGUCCCAUUAGAGUGCCCUUUCGUAGCAACUAAUGGCAAGGGUUGCGCUCGUUGCGGGACUUAACCCAACAUCUCACGACACGAGCUGACGACAGCCAUGCAGCACCUGUGUCCAGGUUCCCUUUCGGGCACCAAUCCAUCUCUGGAAAGUUCCUGGCAUGUCAAGCGUAGGUAAGGUUUUUCGCGUUGCAUCGAAUUAAUCCACAUCAUCCACCGCUUGUGCGGGUCCCCGUCAAUUCCUUUGAGUUUUAACCUUGCGGCCGUACUCCCCAGGCGGUCAACUU